AACGGUAACAGGAAGCAGCCUGCUGCUUCGCUGACGAGUGGCGGACGGGUGAGUAAUGUCUGGGAAGCUGCCUGAUGGAGGGGGAUAACUACUGGAAACGGUAGCUAAUACCGCAUAAUGUCGCAAGACCAAAGAGGGGGACCUUCGGGCCUCUUGCCAUCGGAUGUGCCCAGAUGGGAUUAGCUUGUUGGUGGGGUAACGGCUCACCAAGGCGACGAUCCCUAGCUGGUCUGAGAGGAUGACCAGCCACACUGGAACUGAGACACGGUCCAGACUCCUACGGGAGGCAGCAGUGGGGAAUAUUGCACAAUGGGCGCAAGCCUGAUGCAGCCAUGCCGCGUGUAUGAAGAAGGCCUUCGGGUUGUAAAGUACUUUCAGCGGGGAGGAAGGGAGUAAAGUUAAUACCUUUGCUCAUUGACGUUACCCGCAGAAGAAGCACCGGCUAACUCCGUGCCAGCAGCCGCGGUAAUACGGAGGGUGCAAGCGUUAAUCGGAAUUACUGGGCGUAACGCGCACGCAGGCGGUUUGUUAAGUCAGAUGUGAAAUCCCCGGGCUCAACCUGGGAACUGCAUCUGAUACUGGCAGGCUUGAGUCUCGUAGAGGGGGGUAGAAUUCCAGGUGUAGCGGUGAAAUGCGUAGAGAUCUGGAGGAAUACCGGUGGCGAA
RNAcentral lists this ribosomal RNA (665 nucleotides) under uncultured Escherichia sp. Its description in RNAcentral is "bacterial SSU rRNA". It matches the Rfam family "Bacterial small subunit ribosomal RNA", at positions 65 to 719 of the family's 1533-position model. Lineage: Bacteria; Pseudomonadati; Pseudomonadota; Gammaproteobacteria; Enterobacterales; Enterobacteriaceae. The record is from RNAcentral.